GGGAAUGUCUAAUUGACAUCUGACUGUUUUCCUUUUUGAAAACAAUCAAAUUUCUUGUCCAAUGACAACGUUACAGCUGUACUACCAGGGCAGUCAUCAAAAAAAGGAGAAAAUCAACACGCUAACGGGUCGGACAACCAUCCAACCCGCUUUCUCCAGCAAAACAAAACCUCCACCUAUUCAGGGACCACAACAUUACUUUCUGGAAGCUUGCAAACCACACAACAGAUCAAAAAACGCUAUACAAACCACGCAACAGAUCAAAAAACGCUAUCCACAGGUCAGCAACUCCUCUGCAUCAUCUCUUCUUUCACCUCUUAUGCUCUUACAUUGACAGUUUCACAAGAUUUUCCUUCAUUCUACUCUGAAACAUCGGGGAGAGAUCAACAUCAGAACCGCAACAAAAAUUCCACUGUAAAUUCCUCUAAAUUCACUAUGUAAAUGGUCUUGUAUCCUCUAAAUUUACAGUGUAAAUUUCUCCUAAAUUCCAGAGUAAAAGUAGUUGCAAACAAAAUGAAGUAAUUACAAAUGCAAGAACAUAUACACUGCAAAAAACACAGUAAGUACAGUGUAAAUUCGUCCUAAAUUCCAGAGUAAAAAUAGUUGCAAACAAAAGGAAGUAAUUACAGUGGAAGAACAUAGUAAAUUGCAGUCCAAAAUUUACAGUAAGUACACUGUAAAUUCCUCCUAAAUUACAGUGCAUUUUAAUUACUUCAUUUCUGAAAUGACAAAAAACAAAAUAAAGAAAAAGCCAAAAUAACAAAAGAAAGAAAGAACAUGAAAGACAAAAUGGAACAUACUUGAUUGAGAUAGAACUUCAAAAGAGCUUUGUCGAACCCUCCUUCGUCUCGAGAUAGAUCCUGCAAACAAAAAAAGAAAUAAAACAGAUCAAACAAAAUUAAAUCAAAACUAAAAAAUAAAAAAUAAAACAAUAAAGAAGAGAAACGUAAAUAAGUAACUACGGGAG
Molecule: long non-coding RNA, 967 nt
Filed under: Triticum aestivum (bread wheat)
Lineage: Eukaryota; Viridiplantae; Streptophyta; Magnoliopsida; Poales; Poaceae
Description: long non-coding RNA (TAES_LNC022533)
Source: RNAcentral